Non-coding RNA from Podarcis lilfordi (Lilford's wall lizard), 69 nucleotides. Lineage: Eukaryota; Metazoa; Chordata; Lepidosauria; Squamata; Lacertidae. The record is from the annotation of a GenBank genome assembly.
GUUGUGGCUCAGUGGCAGAACACCUGCUUUGCAUGCAGAAGGUCCCUGGUUCAAUCCGUGAUAGAGACG